GUCCCCAUAGCUCAAUGGACAGAGCAGCGCUCUUCUAAGGCGUUGAUCCGGGUUCGAAUCCUGGUGGGGACA
Molecule: transfer RNA, 72 nt
Filed under: bacterium
Lineage: Bacteria
Description: tRNA-Arg
Rfam family: tRNA
About the family: Transfer RNA (tRNA) molecules are approximately 80 nucleotides in length. Their secondary structure includes four short double-helical elements and three loops (D, anti-codon, and T loops).
Source: RNAcentral